RNAcentral lists this ribosomal RNA (250 nucleotides) under uncultured prokaryote. Its description in RNAcentral is "partial 16S rRNA". It matches the Rfam family "Bacterial small subunit ribosomal RNA", at positions 525 to 775 of the family's 1533-position model. The record is from RNAcentral.
ACGUAGGGUGCAAGCGUUAUCCGGAAUUAUUGGGCGUAAAGAGUGCGUAGGUGGUUUUUUAAGCGUGAGGUGAAAGGCAAUAGCUUAACUAUUGUAAGCCUUGCGAACUGGCAGGCUUGAGUGCAGGAGUGGAAAGUGGAAUUCCUAGUGUGGCGGUGGAAUGCACAGAUAUUAGGAGUAAGACCGAUGGCGAAGGCGGAUCACUAGGAUGCGACUCCCGCUGAGGCGGGAAAGCGUGGGAAGCAAACAG